GGAAGGGUUGUAGCUCAGUGGUAGAGAAUCUGAUUGGCAUUCAAAAGGUCCCUGGUUCAAUCCCCAACAUUUCCA
This 75-nucleotide transfer RNA is filed under the name Sphaerodactylus townsendi. RNAcentral describes it as "tRNA-Ala". The record is from RNAcentral. Lineage: Eukaryota; Metazoa; Chordata; Lepidosauria; Squamata; Sphaerodactylidae.